Molecule: ribosomal RNA, 492 nt
Filed under: uncultured bacterium
Lineage: Bacteria
Description: partial 16S ribosomal RNA
Rfam family: Bacterial small subunit ribosomal RNA
Source: RNAcentral
AGUGAACGCUGGCGGUAGGCCUAACACAUGCAAGUCGAACGGCAGCACAGUAAGAGCUUGCUCUUACGGGUGGCGAGUGGCGGACGGGUGAGGAAUACAUCGGAAUCUACUUUUUCGUGGGGGAUAACGUAGGGAAACUUACGCUAAUACCGCAUACGACCUACGGGUGAAAGCAGGGGAUCUUCGGACCUUGCGCGAUUGAAUGGGCCGAUGUCGGAUUAGCUAGUUGGCGGGGUAAAGGCCCACCAAGGCGACGAUCCGUAGCUGGUCUGAGAGGAUGAUCAGCCACACUGGAACUGAGACACGGUCCAGACUCCUACGGGAGGCAGCAGUGGGGAAUAUUGGACAAUGGGCGCAAGCCUGAUCCAGCCAUACCGCGUGGGUGAAGAAGGCCUUCGGGUUGUAAAGCCCUUUUGUUGGGAAAGAAAAGCAGCAGGUUAAUACCCCGCUGCUCUGACGGUACCCAAAGAAUAAGCACCGGCUAACUUCGUG